CUCCUUGAGCGUAUUGUGGGUUUCCUGUGUUGAAUACCAAUUUGAUGGUAUUGUUUUGGCUGAUUGAAGUCUAUUUUCAUCUUUUGUUGCUUUUGUAAUUCAAGAUGAACUAUGAAGUGGUCUCUACGUUCCACUAUGUUGAUGCAAAUGCAUUGAUGUUGUGGCACAUUGAGWGUUACUAGGUGUCCUGGAUAUGGAAUAUUAUGUGGGCAUGGGGUCUCUCAUGGCUCUUGUUUUGUCCUUGUUUAGUGUUCUUCGAAAUGACAGUUCAUGCGUGCCUAGGCUUGUACUUGUACGAUGAUCUUUGUCAAAGAGGAUUGCUACCUGGUUGAUCCUGCCAGU
This 342-nucleotide unclassified non-coding RNA is filed under the name Zemisia discolor. Its description in RNAcentral is "partial contains external transcribed spacer and 18S ribosomal RNA". Lineage: Eukaryota; Viridiplantae; Streptophyta; Magnoliopsida; Asterales; Asteraceae. The record is from RNAcentral.